UAGGGAAUCUUCCACAAUGGGCGAAAGCCUGAUGGAGCAACGCCGCGUGUGUGAUGAAGGCUUUAGGGUCGUAAAGCACUGUUGUAUGGGAAGAAAUGCUAGAAUAGGGAAUGAUUCUAGUUCGACGGUACCAUACCAGAAAGGGACGGCUAAAUACGUGCCAGCAGCCGCGGUAAUACGUAUGUCCCGAGCGUUAUCCGGAUUUAUUGGGCGUAAAGCGAGCGCAGACGGUUGAUUAAGUCUGAUGUGAAAGCCCGGAGCUCAACUCCGGAAUGGCAUUGGAAACUGGUUAACUUGAGUGUUGUAGAGGUAAGUGGAACUCCAUGUGUAGCGGUGGAAUGCGUAGAUAUAUGGAAGAACACCAGUGGCGAAGGCGGCUUACUGGACAACAACUGACGUUGAGGCUCGAAAGUGUGGGUAGCAAACAGGAUUAGAUACCCUGGUAGUCCACACUGUAAACGAUGAAUACUAGGUGUUAGGAGGUUUCCGCCUCUUANUGNCGAAGCUAACGCAUUAAGUAUUCCGCCUGGGGAGUACNACCGCAAGGNUG
RNAcentral lists this ribosomal RNA (550 nucleotides) under uncultured bacterium. RNAcentral describes it as "bacterial SSU rRNA". It matches the Rfam family "Bacterial small subunit ribosomal RNA", at positions 355 to 896 of the family's 1533-position model. The record is from RNAcentral.